Molecule: non-coding RNA, 207 nt
Organism: Caenorhabditis elegans
Lineage: Eukaryota; Metazoa; Nematoda; Chromadorea; Rhabditida; Rhabditidae
Source: Ensembl
AAACCUGUCUCGAUUUCCAGUGUUGCUGAGCAGAGGCGAGAAAAAAAAUUGACAGAAAAAGGGACCCUCGCAUUCAUUUAAGCCAAGGGGGCUUAUGAAUUGGCGAGUUGAUGAAAAUAGUUCAUGAGGCGUAGAGAAAAAUACACGACGGCUGGAUGGAGAGGAGACGACAAAAAACAACACAAAAAAAAUGGUGGAACAACGGAG